RNAcentral lists this ribosomal RNA (254 nucleotides) under uncultured bacterium. RNAcentral's name for it is "partial 16S ribosomal RNA". It matches the Rfam family "Bacterial small subunit ribosomal RNA", at positions 524 to 777 of the family's 1533-position model. The record is from RNAcentral.
UACGUAGGGGGCAAGCGUUGUCCGGAAUCAUUGGGCGUAAAGCGCGCGUAGGCGGCUAGAUCAGUCUGCUGUAAAAGUCAAAGGCUCAACCUUUGAAAGCCGGUGGAUACUGUCUAGCUAGAGUCCGGAAGAGGCGAGUGGAAUUCCUGGUGUAGCGGUGGAAUGCGCAGAUAUCAGGAGGAACACCAACGGCGAAGGCAGCUCGCUGGGACGGUACUGACGCUAAGGCGCGAAAGCGUGGGGAGCGAACGAGG